Molecule: long non-coding RNA, 1070 nt
Organism: Chenopodium quinoa (quinoa)
Lineage: Eukaryota; Viridiplantae; Streptophyta; Magnoliopsida; Caryophyllales; Amaranthaceae
Exons: 3
Source: RefSeq, a predicted model, not a curated record
AAGAAACAUCAACAUGAAUAAACAAAAGAUGAUAGUAGUAAAUUCACAAGUAAGAGAACUUUCACCGUUGUUUUUGAGGUAUAUAUAGUAAAUGUUUGAGUUUCUGUUAUAGAGGAUCCCAAAUAUGGGCAACUAUAAAGCAUACUCCUCGAAACAUUUAGAAGUAGAUAGUAUUAUUUGUUAUAAAUUUUUAGAAGUAGGUAUAAAUAUACCUGACUGAAAACUGGUGCUGAUAACGUGUUAAAGAAUUUACCGAUAGAAAAGUUUUGAUUAAUAAAAGGAGUAAAAGAGUGAAAGAAGAUGGGUGAAAUUGUUGUAGUGUUAUCAUUGUAUUCUUACUUCUAUGACAUUGUAUUUAUAGCCAUGAGUUACACUAAUAAUACAAUAAUUACUCACAUAGAGCCAUAUGAGUUCACAAGUGUUUGGAACUAUAUGAGCAUUCUGUAAUCAAAUCAAUAAUUGACAUUCACUUAUUAGACUUAUCUUCUAACAGAUAUAUUUUUCUUAAGUUUUUUUUUUAUUUUUUUUAGAUAUUAGAAUUACUUUACCCUCAAAUUAAUCUAUUUAUGAAAGAGAAAUAUAACCCACGUUAAUUUUCACUUUCACCUUACCGUCGGUCUUUGAACCGCCAAACCCACCGCCGCACCCACUGACCCACGCCUAUAGUCAUCGGCACACCGCCGCACCCACCGAAGCACCACCGCACUAACUAGGUACUUAAGCAACACCAAGGAAGCUAGAGAGUGAAAAUUUCAGAGGGAUCAAUUUGGGCUGAGAGGAUUGGUUUGGAGUUGAUAGAUGUAGAAGCAUUGAAGAAACUAAACAAUGGAAGAAGAAGCUUGCAAAGAAGUACCGUACUUUCCUUGCAUCUGAAGCAGUCAUUAAGCAGCAAAUUACCUGUUUGCUGGACCUGGGACCUGGUCAGUAGGCAAGUGUUUUUUAUUAGCAGUAAAAACAAGAUUAUUUGUAUAUUUCAUGUUUUAUAGUUGAAUUUUGGAGGUUUAAAGUUUGUUUAAGAUUAUUUGUAUAUUACAUUCUUAAAUUAUAAAUUUAUAAUUUUUUUUAUUCAA